GCUCCUUUGGCCUAGUGGUUAUGGCGUGGCUCUUAUGUGGUAAUUCUGGACAACAGAUUCCGCAUGACUUGGCUAGCUGAAGUCGAGGGUUCGACUCCCUCAAGGAGCA
Non-coding RNA from Aspergillus leporis, 109 nucleotides. The record is from the annotation of a GenBank genome assembly. NCBI's taxonomy places the organism in Eukaryota, Fungi, Ascomycota, Eurotiomycetes, Eurotiales, Aspergillaceae.